GGCAGGUGACAGGAAGCAUGAGGGAUGGGAAGGGCUGCACUCAGGUUAGCAGAGACCAUUCCUGAGCUUCCUGGCAACCAAGCUUCCUCCACAUGCCUAGGAGACAACAGUGAAAAGGCCGGGUGUGGUGGGAGCAACUGAUAAUUAAAGCCAGAACCCUGUAUCAGGCAGGGGACCGGAGGACUCUCCAGUCACAGGGAGGAAGAUCAGUGCACAAAGCCACAGAGGAGAGUGUUGCUGGCCUUACAAACAUUCUAACUGGAAUGUGCUACAGAAACUCCAGAAAUGCGUUGGCUAUUCCUUCUGUGGAGAAUCUCUGCCUGCUUGUGUCCCUCCUUGGCAUCUCCAGGGCACUGCGAAGCCAAAGUUGUCUAAAAAGAGAUCAAGAAAUACCCCAUCUGUCUCUAUGGAUGGAGCUACUAUUUAUUAAGAGGCAAGACUACACUAACCACUUACAGUAUCUCACUUAAUCCUCUCUGUGCAAUUCCCUGUGGGAGACAUUCUUUGUCUGCAGUUGAGGAAACUGAGUCUCAGAAACACAGAGUUAGGAUCUGGACCCUGCUCCUUCUUCUCCAAGCCCUUGCUUCUAAUUGCUAUGCUGCUGCCCUGCAUUCCUUAGAUCAUCAGAAUGCAGGCCUAUCCUUACCCCUUAACUCAGCAAAGUUUUCUGUAGAGUCAGGCAAAAAUUCCCCUAACAUUUUCUCCCAUGCAAUUGAAUCCUUUGCUUUGGCAAAUCCACCCGCCCCCUUAGAACUUUCACGCCGGCUCUGGUCUUUCCAGAGGCGUCUCUCUGACUCUUCUAGAUAGCAUUUCAGCUGUCUCUGUCCCUACUCUCCUUUUUCCUGCUCUGUCAGCUCACCUGAGGAACUAGUAUCUAUGUGUUCUGCUCCCUUUUUUAAAAGCAGACGAAUCCAUAAGGCAACCACAGGCCAUUUGACCCCACACUGAAUCUCUUAGGUAUUUCUCCCACUUGGGGCAGGGUGGGGGCCUCCCAAGCUGAAGUUGUAUAUUCUUCCUCUUCUUGACCUUCUCAAGGUUGGGUUUGGCAUUCCAUUAAGCUGGGACAGUCUGCCUUCCUGAGUCCUCGUAAUUCUAAAUUAUGUCUUUGCCAUUGGCUGGGAUAAUAGCCCCAGAUAAGAGGGAGCAGACAUUCAAAUAGAGUACUGUGGUCCUCUGGCAUGACCUUGGCUCGGAGAGACCCAAGAACCCAGUCUGUAUGAACCCGAGGGAAGAAACAGCUUCACUGUCCUAAGGAACACACAGUCCUAUCUCCAAGCACCAGGAGAGGAUGAGUCACAAACUAGUGAGCAGAUUUCGGGGGCUGGGGAUACCUAUUUGCUGUGAGGCACACUGUCAGCCCCCCCUUUUUUUAAGAAGGAAAGAGAGAAAGCCAAGCUGACAGUGAUGGAACUCAACAAUAGGAUAUGAAAGAUAAUUAUCCAAAGCAGACAGGGACAGCCAAGUUCUAAGUGUUGAGUGAUGAUAAGUGGUCCAGGCAGUCAUAGGAAGAGCGGAGUUGACCUGGGAGAAAA
Molecule: long non-coding RNA, 1532 nt
Organism: Mesocricetus auratus (golden hamster)
Lineage: Eukaryota; Metazoa; Chordata; Mammalia; Rodentia; Cricetidae
Exons: 3
Source: RefSeq, a predicted model, not a curated record